Molecule: ribosomal RNA, 199 nt
Filed under: uncultured bacterium
Lineage: Bacteria
Description: partial 16S ribosomal RNA
Rfam family: Bacterial small subunit ribosomal RNA
Source: RNAcentral
ACGCUCGACACCUACGGGAGGCGGCAGUCGGGAAUAUUGCGCAAUGGAGGAAACUCUGACGCAGUGACGCCGCGUAUAGGAAGAAGGUUUUCGGAUUGUAAACUAUUGUCGUUAGGGAAGAAAAAGGACAGUACCUAAGGAGGAAGCUCCGGUUAACUACGUGCUAGCAGCCGCGGUAAUCUGAGCGGGCUGGCAAGGC